RNAcentral lists this long non-coding RNA (2164 nucleotides) under Canis lupus familiaris (dog). Its description in RNAcentral is "lncRNA (ENSCAFG00000051769.1)". Lineage: Eukaryota; Metazoa; Chordata; Mammalia; Carnivora; Canidae. The record is from RNAcentral.
UUAACUUUCAAAUAAUUAUUUCUUAAAGAUUUUAUUGAUAGAGAAAAAGAGUGUGGGCUGGAGAAGGGACAAAGGAAGAGGAAAGGAGAGAAUCUCAAGCAAACUGUGCUGAGGAUGGAGCCCAACUUGGGGCUUAAUCUCAUGACCCUGAGAUCAUGAUCCAAGCCAAAAUCAAAAAAGUUGGACACUUAACUGUCUGAGCCACCCAGGUGCCCCACAAAUGAUGAUUUUAAACUAAAUAUUGAAUUGCAGUCAUGUAAUUCUUUUAUUGGUAAUUUUUUAGUCACUUUUGAAGAUAAAUAUUGAGCUGGGAUGUAAAUGUAUGAGAUUGAUCUUCUAAACGAACAUGUCAGAAACUAAACUACUCAUAUGUAUCAUGCCCUUCAGUGUUGUCAUCUUGGAAACUAUAUGAUAAUGCCGUUUGUGCAGCCAAUAAUUUGUGGAACUCUGUCUCUUAGAAGUUCUUUCAGAUCCAGCUUGCCUGUCAGGCCUCAUAUAAGACUAUGUAAUAUUUUAAGAGAGCCUUCCAUCAUUAGAAUUCAUUGUUUUUCUAGCCCUUUAUCCUUCCUAUCAUUCUAUUAAUUCUGUGCAUGACUUAAGCAAGAAGAAAGCUCAUGCCCCUUCUGUAGUCAUUUCAAGUCUCAGGUCCUUUAGGAGAUUCAACAUCUCAAUAUUCAAUGUUUUGUCUUCUAUUUAAUGGUUUCCUAUACAUAGCUAAUAUCGCCAUGAAUUAAAAUAGGUAGGAAUUCUUCCAGUAUUGUUUUUUUAAAAAGGUUUUAUUUAUUUAUUUCGAAAGAGAGCAUGAGUAGGGGGAUGGAUGGGGGGAGGAGCAGGGGAGAGGGACAAGCAGACUCUACACUGAGUGUGAAGUCCGACUCUGGGCUUGAUCCCAUGGCCCUGAGAUCACUUCCUGAGCCAAAAUCAAGAGUCAGUUGUUAAGCUGACUGAGCCACCCAGGUGCUCCCAGUGUGUGUGUUUCAACUUGCUUCCUAAUAUGUUGUCACCUAAGUGUAUGUACUUGUAUUCUCUUUAAAAGGAUAUUUCAUACUACUUCCUUUCUACUUCAGCAGUAUUACUAAUAGGUAUUUCUGGGGGCACAAUGAAUUAGGUGCUAGUCUCCUUAAACAACUGGAAUUUAAGAGAUUACACAAGACACCAUGACUCAUACCUAGGGACUGUGAAACAUUACAGUGUACAUAAACUCACAGGUAUUUCAGAGUUUUCAGGCAGAGUUAAAAGUUAAAACAAAUGGAACUACCUUAAUAAUGCUGAAAAUAUGGUUUUAAAUGCUUUGGGAAUUAAAUAAUUACAAUGUUAAUAUGCUUGUCAUCAAGAUGCUAAUGUUCACUUGAAGUUUUACAAGCUGAUGGUAUUAUGUUUAUUUCAACUUCAGGUUGUCAUCACAGUUACACACUUCACAGUUUCAGACAUUCUUAGAGUAUAACAGAACAAAAUGGCAGUAUAUGAGUAUGUGUGUGGGUAGGAUGGGAGGGAAGCACACCAUGACUUUUUUCUGAAAAGGUGGAAAAAAAACUCAAUUUCCACUUGUUAGCUUAGGUAGAGAUGAGGCACAAGAGAAAUUAGAAAAUGUUUAGAUAAUAUUGAAAUGAAAAUAAAAUAUGUCAAAGUAUCAGGGAUGUCACUAGACCAGAACUUAAAAUAAAAUUUAUAAUUUUAAGUGUUUUAUUAGAAAAGAAGAAAUAUGUAAAAUAAAUUUUUUAAAAUUCCAUCUUAUGAAGAUAGAAAGAUAUGAACAAAUGACACCCCAAAUAAGUAGGAAGAUGAAAGUAAUAAAUGGAAGAGCACAAAUCAAUGACCUAGAACAGGGGAUCAGACUACAUGCCAAAUCUAGUUAGUGGCAUGUUUCAUAUAGCCCCUAAAGUAAGAAUCAUUUUCAUAUUUUAACAAGUUUUAAAACACACCAACUAGGGGCUCCUGAGUGGCUCAGUGGUUGAGCAUCUGCCUUUGGCUCAGGGUAUGGUCCCGGGAUCCGGGAUUGAGUCUCACAUCAGGCUCCCUGCAGGGAGCCUGCUUCUCCCUCUGCCUAUGUCUCUGCCUCUCUCUCUCUCUCCCUCUCUCUCUCUGUCUUUCUCUCUCUGUGUGUGUCUCUCAUGAAUAAAUCUUUAAAAAAAAAACACAAACUAAACAAAAAGAAAAGAAAAAA